UCCACGCCGUAAACGGUGGGUACUAGGUGUGGGUUUCCUUCCUUGGGAUCCGUGCCGUAGCUAACGCAUUAAGUACCCCGCCUGGGGAGUACGGCCGCAAGGCUAAAACUCAAAGAAAUUGACGGGGGCCCGCACAAGCGGCGGAGCAUGUGGAUUAAUUCGAUGCAACGCGAAGAACCUUACCUGGGUUUGACAUGCACAGGACGUGCCUAGAGAUAGG
RNAcentral lists this ribosomal RNA (220 nucleotides) under uncultured bacterium. Its description in RNAcentral is "partial 16S ribosomal RNA". It matches the Rfam family "Bacterial small subunit ribosomal RNA", at positions 794 to 1010 of the family's 1533-position model. The record is from RNAcentral.